GCUGUACAGAGGGUUCUCCGGCCGUCGCUGGGCCCGUGGAGCAUGCCGGGAGCGGCGAGCGCGGCAGGCGCCCCAGCGGGGCAAGCGAGGCGACGCGUAGUCCGUGAGGCAUCCGUGGGCCUGUGCCAGUUGCAGAAGGCGUUGUUGAAAUGAGCCCAGAGCCCAGAGUCCAGCUCUCCUGGAAAUUCCUCCUAACGACUCGACCACUGAGUUCUAGACCCCGAGCGCCACAUUCCAUUUUGCACCCGGCGCUGCGAACUUAAGCCCAAGUGCCUCGGACCUCAGGCGAUUCUGUGCAGGCGCCGGUGUGAUGGGAGGUGGAGCGGAGGACCCCGGAUGGGUGGCCACCCCCUUCACAGGUGUCUGAGCCCUAGCCCAACUUGAAGUCAGGUCUCCAACCUGCUGGAGCAGCGAACACGCCGAAGCCCACCUUUUUAGCCUGAGAGGUGGAUUCGAGGAAUUACACUAUUAGAGUUGAACUAGAGAAUUAUUCUUUUAUGUCCUUAUGCUUUCCUGCAUCCUGACCCUAGCCAUAUUAUGGUACAAACAUUCAGAACAGACCUACUUGCAAGAAAUACCAGAAUGUUAAAUAUUUUUACUGCAAAAACCAUGCUGCUCAAGUCAUAGCCUUGUGAGUUGUGAAAUGAGGGCCAAAGGUGAAAGCCUCCGGUAUUGAGUUGGUUACAAUUACUCCAUAUAUUGAAGGAAAGUGAAGAGCACAGAUUUGACUGCGUUAAGAUGGCACCCUUAAUAAGGAAUAUGGCAUAUUUAUAAAAUAGUUGUUUUUUCUCUUUCCUUUGGUCUUCCUACCCUCUCUCCAAAACUGACCCAAUAUUUUCAAGUGAAAACGUGCAAAAUCAGUAAUUUUGAGUUUAAUUAGUACCCAAUUUUAUGGUGUACAAAAACAAAACUGUGAAACCAUUUAAGAGUUCCUGGUAUUGCUGAGACAAAAAUAGAGAAAUGAACAGCAAGCCUACAGAGAUUAUUGUUAAACCUACCUUUCUGUCUUUAUGGUUGUAAUUCUUUUCUUUCAAAACUUUUAAAAGUAAUAAAAACACUGUGUUCUUCCCUACCCCAGAGAAAAAAUUAGGCAAAAAUGACACACCUAUUGAGUAAAUUGUCAAGUUACAAAUAAAAUCUGCUUUGAUAUA
Molecule: long non-coding RNA, 1151 nt
Organism: Hipposideros armiger (great roundleaf bat)
Lineage: Eukaryota; Metazoa; Chordata; Mammalia; Chiroptera; Hipposideridae
Exons: 2
Source: RefSeq, a predicted model, not a curated record